Molecule: non-coding RNA, 97 nt
Organism: Triticum aestivum (bread wheat)
Lineage: Eukaryota; Viridiplantae; Streptophyta; Magnoliopsida; Poales; Poaceae
Source: Rfam
UGGUGGCACCAACCGGGACUAAAGGGGGGGCAUUGGUACCGGUUAGUGACACCAACCGGUACCAAUGCACCCCUUUAGUCCCGGUUGGUGCCACCAA